UCUACCUGCUGAGGCACUGCUAUGUCUUAUCUGCGUCACUGCAGGUUGUGGUGUUACUGUGUGUGUGCGUGUGCAUUAACAAUAUUAUUAUUUUCUAAUAAUGUGUCAUUUCCUGCCCACCAUUUCCUCUCUGUGAUUUUUUUUCCACUUUGCCCCUAUUCUUUUGAUAACUACCACAGUGAGGAUUGAUCAAGUAGUGAUUAUGACCUUUGGUCGUCUCACAGCAAUGUUCAUGGAUUUACUUCCAGCCUCCAACUCACUUGGCUCACAUCUCCAGUUCGCUGUGAACACUGCAGGCUGCAUAUCUGCUGACAGAUUUCCGUCCGUUCUGGUCACCGGUGUCCUUUAACGGUGGCUUGUUUUUAUCCAGUAGCCCCCUGGAGGUUUGUGCUCCGUCCUCACUGAUGACCGCCGCAGCCAAUAUUGCAAUAGACAUUUUAUCAAGUUUACGGAUGAGGUGUCAUAUGGCUUUCUUUGCUCGAGGGAGGAAAUGGACGCAGUGAUGUAGUGGAUGGCUACGUCCCGGGCUAUGAUGAAUUUAUUUAUUUAUUUGGAUGAAGAAUUUUGUAAGAAAACAGGGCAAACCAUUUUUAGAAGUUUAUGUUUGUGUGUGUUAAUGCUAACAGCUGUUAAAGACGCUGAGGUCGGACUCUGCAGAUUACUCUAUUUUCUGGACUUUAGAGUACUUUAGGAAGUUUCUCCAGUAAACUGUUUUAUUGUGCUUUCCAGUAAUUGUGUCAGGUUUUUGUGUAGCAUCCAGCUUGAGUUGAACUGAUAUGAUUUAAUCUGCUAAGAGCGCUGAUGUGACAGAUAAAACUUAGCCAGGCUAGUGGUACUUGCACUAGUACUAAAAGACCUUUUGAAAAAUGCUCAUUUUGACAGUGCUAACCUGGCUGUAGUGUGUAAAAUUGUAAUCACUUUUAAUUAAUAUUAAAAGUAAAGUGACCUGACUAAUGAGUUAGAUUGCAAUAGAGUGUUUCUUCUUCACCAAUCUGGAUUUAAUCAUUAAUUAUAAUUAAACCUGGCUCUCUAAAAGAGCAUCUUUGGUGCUGUCUACCUCCCCUCCCCCCCAACCACGUGCAGCAGAUUGCCGCACCUCCCUGAGCCUGGUUCUGCUGAAGGUUUUUUCCUGUUAAAAUUGUGUUUUUCCUUCCCACUGUUGCCAAGUGCUUGCUCAUAGAGGUAAUCUGACUGUAGAAAUUUCUCUGUACCAUUGUAGCAUCAUUACCUUAUAAAAUAAAGCACCUUGAGGCGA
Astatotilapia calliptera (eastern happy) is the source of this 1255-nucleotide long non-coding RNA. The record is from Ensembl. Lineage: Eukaryota; Metazoa; Chordata; Actinopteri; Cichliformes; Cichlidae.